GGAUUUGUCAGUUGGUCGGGCUUAACUGUCCGUAUUGACUCGAUGGAUUCUUACCUUCUGAAUAACCAGCAUGCUAUUAAUUUAGUGCGUUGGGGAAGCAGAUCUAUUACCUUGAAAAAAUUAGAGUGCUUAAAGCGAGCUAGUGCUUGAAUAGAUUAGCAUGGAAUAAUAAAAUAGGACGGUGGUCCUGUUUUGUUGGUUUCUGAAUCACCGUA
RNAcentral lists this ribosomal RNA (215 nucleotides) under uncultured Acaulospora. RNAcentral's name for it is "partial small subunit ribosomal RNA". The stretch from base 47 to 215 matches the Rfam family "Eukaryotic small subunit ribosomal RNA", at positions 692 to 863 of the family's 1831-position model. The record is from RNAcentral. Lineage: Eukaryota; Fungi; Glomeromycota; Glomeromycetes; Diversisporales; Acaulosporaceae.